GACGAACGCUGGCGGCGUGCUUAACACAUGCAAGUCGAGCGGAAAGGCCCUGCUUUUGUGGGGUGCUCGAGUGGCGAACGGGUGAGUAACACGUGAGUAACCUGCCCUUGACUUUGGGAUAACUUCAGGAAACUGGGGCUAAUACCGGAUAGGAGCUCCUGCUGCAUGGUGGGGGUUGGAAAGUUUCGGCGGUUGGGGAUGGACUCGCGGCUUAUCAGCUUGUUGGUGGGGUAGUGGCUUACCAAGGCUUUGACGGGUAGCCGGCCUGAGAGGGUGACCGGCACCAUGGGAAUGAGGUUACGGCCAGGACUCUUCGGGGAGGAGGAGGGGGGAAUAAUGGACAAAGGGGGGAAGCCCUAAGCAGGAACGGCGGGUGGGGGAUGGCGGGCCUUCGGGUUGAAACCCGCUUUCGCUUGGAAGGAGGGGGGGGGGACGGUAAUGGGUAAAGAAGAACGGGUAACUAACGU
RNAcentral lists this ribosomal RNA (467 nucleotides) under uncultured bacterium. RNAcentral describes it as "partial 16S ribosomal RNA". It matches the Rfam family "Bacterial small subunit ribosomal RNA", at positions 28 to 506 of the family's 1533-position model. The record is from RNAcentral.